This 71-nucleotide transfer RNA is filed under the name Cirrothauma murrayi. Its description in RNAcentral is "tRNA-Ile". The record is from RNAcentral. Lineage: Eukaryota; Metazoa; Mollusca; Cephalopoda; Octopoda; Cirroteuthidae.
AACGUUGCGCCGGUAUGAACGGAUUAUAUUGAUGUUAUAAAUAAUAAGACUUAUAGUAAUCUUCUACGUUU